RNAcentral lists this ribosomal RNA (300 nucleotides) under uncultured Sporomusa sp. RNAcentral's name for it is "bacterial SSU rRNA". The stretch from base 52 to 300 matches the Rfam family "Bacterial small subunit ribosomal RNA", at positions 548 to 795 of the family's 1533-position model. Lineage: Bacteria; Bacillati; Bacillota; Negativicutes; Selenomonadales; Sporomusaceae. The record is from RNAcentral.
GAAAGUCGGGUCCGGAGGCGGGGUGAAUGCGGUGGGUGUAGGUGUUGUCCUGAUUGAUUGGGCGUAAAGAGCUAGUAGGCGGGUUGGUAAUGCGGAGGUGAAAUCGCCAGGCGCAACCGGGAGGGGUCAGUCGAUACUGCCAUGACUAGAGUUCGGUAUGGGAGUGUGGAAUUCCUGGUGGAGCGGUGAAAUGCGCAGAUAUCAGGAGGAACACCCGUAGCGAAGGCGGCACUCUGGGCCGAUACUGACGCUGAGGAGCGAAAGCGUGGGGAGCGAACAGGAUUAGAUACCCCUGUAGUC